RNAcentral lists this ribosomal RNA (222 nucleotides) under Rhizophagus irregularis. The record is from RNAcentral. Lineage: Eukaryota; Fungi; Glomeromycota; Glomeromycetes; Glomerales; Glomeraceae.
CAGUCGCACCUGCGGGUAAUCAGCCUUUUGGGCAUGAUUCUGUGGAGCGUGAGGAGUUAAACGCCUUCAUGCCUGCAUAUUCGUGUACUUUGGGUGUACUUGCCCGUGUGGUUAGUUAACAUCAAUUUUGGUUAUCAUAAAAUGGCUGGAGGAAUGUAGCUUCGAUUUCGAUUGAAGUUGUUAUAGCCUUCGGCAGAUGUGAUUCGUUCGGGAUUGGAGGUA